ACCAUGUGAGAGACUACUGAUGGA
RNAcentral lists this non-coding RNA (24 nucleotides) under Arabidopsis thaliana (thale cress). The record is from RNAcentral. Lineage: Eukaryota; Viridiplantae; Streptophyta; Magnoliopsida; Brassicales; Brassicaceae.